UGUGCGCGUAUGUUUGCCAUAUACAAGGCUG
Molecule: non-coding RNA, 31 nt
Filed under: Homo sapiens (human)
Lineage: Eukaryota; Metazoa; Chordata; Mammalia; Primates; Hominidae
Source: RNAcentral